Molecule: ribosomal RNA, 501 nt
Filed under: uncultured bacterium
Lineage: Bacteria
Description: bacterial SSU rRNA
Rfam family: Bacterial small subunit ribosomal RNA
Source: RNAcentral
GACGAACGCUGGCGGCGUGGAUUAGGCAUGCAAGUCGAACGGUAUCAUCCUUUCGGGGGUGAGAGAGUGGCGAACUGGUGAGUAACACGUAGGUUAUCUACCCUCAAGACGGGGACAACCCAGGGAAACUUGGGCUAAUACCGGAUGUGAGCAACUUUUAGUUGUUUGAAAGGUGGCGUAAGCUGUCGCUUGGGGAUGAGCCUGCGUCCUAUUAGUUAGUUGGUGAGGUAACGGCUCACCUAGGCAAUGAUAGGUAGGCGGCCUUAACGGGUGGUCGCCCACACUGGGAUUGAGAUACGGCCCAGACUCCUACGGGAGGCAGCAGUCGAGAAUAGUCUACAAUGGUCGGAAGACUGAUAGUGCGACGCCGCGUGAACGAUGAAUCCCUUCGGGGUUAAAGUUCUUUUAUAUGUGAGCAGUGCUUCUUAUAUUAACAGUAUGGGGAAGAGAUAUUAGCAUAUGAAUAAGCAACGGCUAACUCCGUGCCAGCAGCCGGGUAAA